RNAcentral lists this ribosomal RNA (497 nucleotides) under uncultured bacterium. RNAcentral describes it as "partial 16S ribosomal RNA". It matches the Rfam family "Bacterial small subunit ribosomal RNA", at positions 28 to 507 of the family's 1533-position model. The record is from RNAcentral.
GACGAACGCUGGCGGCGUGCCUAAUACAUGCCAGUCGAACGCUGAAGCUUGGUGCUUGCACCGAGCGGAUGAGUUGCGAACGGGUGAGUAACGCGUAGGUAACCUGCCUGGUAGCGGGGGAUAACUAUUGGAAACGAUAGCUAAUACCGCAUAAGAGUAGAUGUUGCAUGACAUUUGCUUAAAAGGUGCAAUUGCCUCACUACCAGAUGGACCUGCGUUGUAUUAGCUAGUUGGUGAGGUAGCGGCUCACCAGGGCAACGAUACAUAGCCGACCUGAGAGGGUGAUCGGCCACACUGGGACUGAGACACGGCCCAGACUCCUACGGGAGGCAGCAGUAGGGAAUCUUCGGCAAUGGACGGAAGUCUGACCGAGCAACGCCGCGUGAGUGAAGAAGGUUUUCGGAUCGUAAAGCUCUGUUGUAAGAGAAGAACGAGUGUGAGAGUGGAAAGUUCACACUGUGACGGUAUCUUACCAGAAAGGGACGGCUAACUACGUG